Molecule: ribosomal RNA, 574 nt
Filed under: Bacillus sp. (in: firmicutes)
Lineage: Bacteria; Bacillati; Bacillota; Bacilli; Caryophanales; Bacillaceae
Description: bacterial SSU rRNA
Rfam family: Bacterial small subunit ribosomal RNA
Source: RNAcentral
AGCGGCGGACGGGUGAGUAACACGUGGGUAACCUGCCCAUAAGACUGGGAUAACUCCGGGAAACCGGGGCUAAUACCGGAUAACAUUUUGAACCGCAUGGUUCGAAAUUGAAAGGCGGCUUCGGCUGUCACUUAUGGAUGGACCCGCGUCGCAUUAGCUAGUUGGUGAGGUAACGGCUCACCAAGGCAACGAUGCGUAGCCGACCUGAGAGGGUGAUCGGCCACACUGGGACUGAGACACGGCCCAGACUCCUACGGGAGGCAGCAGUAGGGAAUCUUCCGCAAUGGACGAAAGUCUGACGGAGCAACGCCGCGUGAGUGAUGAAGGCUUUCGGGUCGUAAAACUCUGUUGUUAGGGAAGAACAAGUGCUAGUUGAAUAAGCUGGCACCUUGACGGUACCUAACCAGAAAGCCACGGCUAACUACGUGCCAGCAGCCGCGGUAAUACGUAGGUGGCAAGCGUUAUCCGGAAUUAUUGGGCGUAAAGCGCGCGCAGGUGGUUUCUUAAGUCUGAUGUGAAAGCCCACGGCUCAACCGUGGAGGGUCAUUGGAAACUGGGAGACUUGAGUGCAGAA